Molecule: ribosomal RNA, 167 nt
Filed under: uncultured Actinomycetes bacterium
Lineage: Bacteria; Bacillati; Actinomycetota; Actinomycetes
Description: uncultured actinobacterium partial 16S ribosomal RNA
Rfam family: Bacterial small subunit ribosomal RNA
Source: RNAcentral
CGGAGGAAGGUGGGGAUGACGUCAAAUCAUCAUGCCCCUUAUGUCUUGGGCUUCACGCAUGCUACAAUGGCCGGUACAAAGGGCUGCAAUACCGUAAGGUGGAGCGAAUCCCAAAAAGCCGGUCCCAGUUCGGAUUGAGGUCUGCAACUCGACCUCAUGAAGUCGGA